Molecule: ribosomal RNA, 603 nt
Filed under: Triticum aestivum (bread wheat)
Lineage: Eukaryota; Viridiplantae; Streptophyta; Magnoliopsida; Poales; Poaceae
Description: partial small subunit ribosomal RNA
Source: RNAcentral
AUGGAAGCCAUUUUCUUGGUACGACAACUUAUGGAGAGAUAUAGGGAGCAAAAGAAGGACUUGCAUAUGGUGUUCAUUGACUUGGAGAAGGCCAUUGAUAAGAUACCGCGGAAUGUCAUGUUGUGGGCCUUAGAGAAACACAAAGUCCCAGCAAAGUACAUUACCCUCAUCAAGGACAUGUACGAUAAUAUUGUGACAAGUGUUCGAACAAGUGAUGUCGACACUGAUGACUUCCCGAUUAAGAUAGGACCGCAUCAGGGGUCAGCUUUGCGCCCUUAUCUUUUUGCAUUGGUGAUGGAUGAGGUCACAAGGGAUAUACAAGGAGAUAUCCCAUGGUGUAUGCCUUUUGCGGAUGAUGUGGUGCUAGUUGACGAUAGUCGGAUGAGGGUAAAUAGGAAGUUAGAGUUAUGGAGACAAACCUUGGAAUCAAAAGGGUUUAGACUUAGUAGAACAAAAACCGAGUACAUGAUGUGCGGUUUUAGUACUACUAGGUGUGAGGAGGACGAGGAGGUUAGGCUUGAUGGCCAGGUGGUACCCCAGAAGGACACCUUUUGGUAUUUGGGGUCAAUGUUGCAGGAGGAUGGGGUAUUGAUGAAGAUGUGA